This is a long non-coding RNA of Heterocephalus glaber (naked mole-rat), 2008 nucleotides long. The record is from Ensembl. Lineage: Eukaryota; Metazoa; Chordata; Mammalia; Rodentia; Bathyergidae.
AAUUUUGUUUUGAGAUAGGGUCUUGUUAAGUUGCCCAGGCUGAGUUGAGAUCCUUCUGCCUUAGCCUCUCAACUACCUGAAAUUUUAUGAAACUUUUACAUGAAUGUAUGAAAAAAAGCACAUUUUUGUAAUUCUUUCUCUUAUGUAUGGAACCAAUAGAUUAAUUUAUUGAACAUGUACUAAAUUUCUGCUAUAUAUAAGAAGUUAGAAGAUAUAAAAGAGAAGCAGAAACUAAUCAUUCCUGUUGAGAAUUUAUAAUCUAAUAGGAGUACUCAAACUUUCACAUAAAUAAAAUACUAUGCAGAAACUUCUAAACCCCUAUGCAUGGGACCUGGAGUGGCCUUGUCCUGAGUGUAAUGUACUAAAAGCUUUAAAUGGAUAAUCAUCCCUGCUACAAUGUGGUACCUAUGUGUGCAGGUAUUUAUCCUUAACUCCAAGUCCCAGAGCUGUACAUGGAAAAUUUCAUUACAUGUGGCACAGAUAUUUAUUUAACAAAUCUCAUUGUGCCUUUACAACCUUAUGAGGAAAAUAGAGUGGUUAAUGUCUAGGUCCUAGAAAGUCUCCUGGAUUUGAAUCCUGGCUCCAUUACUUGCUGUGAAAUGAUCUUGGUGAAGUUACUGGCUGUCUGUGACUCAGUUUCCUGACAUGAAAAGUGUGGUUAAUAAUAGUGCCUAGUAACAGUACCAAACAAUAAUGUCAGUAAUCACGAGGAUGUCAUAAGGUAAUUAAUGUACCACAUUUGGAAUAGUGCCUGACAUGAUAAACACUAAAAUGUCAACUCAUUACUGUCACUACAAUGAUCCCCAUUUUACAAAGAAAUGAAGGCUUGAAGGUGUUCAUUAAGCCAUGUCUGGGUUUUAACUGUAUCACUCUAACAUCACCGGAAAAAGUGAAAAAGCAAAGCAGACCAAGAUUCGUGUCAGAGCAUUUUCUUGUAAGAACCUCAUAUUCAAUCCAUGUCCUGUUGUUCAAAGUUAUUUUGAAAUGGGCCGAGUCUUAAUUGAAGUGGAAGUACCUGAAACCAGAGUUAAUAUCAGGAGCAACAGGGAGUCAGAUUCACGGAGGUAAACUGUUGCUAGUUCUGCAUUUCAAGCCCUUUUGGCUCCUGGGCCAGCUGAACUUCUGGUUGUAGGCUGAGCUGGAUGGAGACAGAUGCAGCUCUAGUGAUUCUGCUGAACUUUGGAUUCCCUGGGCACAUAAGAAAAGGGUUGUGCUACAGGGUCCAGGGGCCCAAGUCAGACAGUACCGGGCAUGACUUCCACCAAUAAUUAUGAAGGCUGCUGAAUACACCAGCUACUGCUCUGGAAGCUAGAGACACAAUGGACAAUAGGAUGAGACUGAGUCUGUCCUUGUGGAGCGUAAAUUAUUUUUUACAGGAUCGAUAUAAAUAACCAAGUAAAAAAAAUACAGAGUUUCAUUAACACCAAUAAACAGAGUGAUGAAAAGAGAGUUGCUAUUAGUCCAUUUGCUGUUAUAAUAACAAGGAACCUGAGCACAGACCCGUCCACCUCCUGACAUGGGCUCCCACAGGACACUGCAGUGAGUUCCACACCUUCGACUGCAUUCUUUAGCUCUUCAGUAUGCAGAAAGGCCUUCUGGACCCUUCCUCACCUGACUCUGCAUAAAGACAAUUUUGAGGACUUCUGGGAAGAUGGUAGAGUGGUGAACAACAAAGAAACAGUCUCUCCAAGACUGGGAGUCCAGACUCUGGAAUACAGCAACGUGAGAAAGAGAAGGAGGGAAGUGGGUCCCCGGGACUCAGCAAGGAUCUGAAGUGAGGAUUGAAGGCCAUGAGGAGAGUGAAAAGAGAGACCUCAGUGCAGAAGAAAGAGGUGGCAAACAGCACUUUUUCCCCGAGCCCUGUCUCACUGUGUGGGAGGGGCAGCUCAAACCUACAGAUGCACAGUGAUUACUGGUGACCUUAGAGGCCACCACAGAAAAAUGUACCAAUGGACGGAGCAGUGGACAGCAGACUACAGUGGCUGGUGAGUUUUUUUUAUGUUUUUAG